This 497-nucleotide ribosomal RNA is filed under the name uncultured bacterium. RNAcentral's name for it is "partial 16S ribosomal RNA". It matches the Rfam family "Bacterial small subunit ribosomal RNA", at positions 28 to 507 of the family's 1533-position model. The record is from RNAcentral.
GAUGAACGCUGGCGGCGUGCCUAAUACAUGCAAGUCGAGCGAACAGACGAGGAGCUUGCUCCUCUGACGUUAGCGGCGGACGGGUGAGUAACACGUGGAUAACCUACCUAUAAGACUGGGAUAACUUCGGGAAACCGGAGCUAAUACCGGAUAAUAUAUUGAACCGCAUGGUUCAAUAGUGAAAGACGGUUUUGCUGUCACUUAUAGAUGGAUCCGCGCCGCAUUAGCUAGUUGGUAAGGUAACGGCUUACCAAGGCGACGAUGCGUAGCCGACCUGAGAGGGUGAUCGGCCACACUGGAACUGAGACACGGUCCAGACUCCUACGGGAGGCAGCAGUAGGGAAUCUUCCGCAAUGGGCGAAAGCCUGACGGAGCAACGCCGCGUGAAUGAUGAAGGUCUUCGGAUCGUAAAACUCUGUUAUUAGGGAAGAACAAAUGUGUAAGUAACUAUGCACGUCUUGACGGUACCUAAUCAGAAAGCCACGGCUAACUACGUG